RNAcentral lists this ribosomal RNA (549 nucleotides) under uncultured bacterium. RNAcentral describes it as "bacterial SSU rRNA". It matches the Rfam family "Bacterial small subunit ribosomal RNA", at positions 94 to 630 of the family's 1533-position model. The record is from RNAcentral.
AGCGGCGAACGGGUGCUUAACACGUGGGCAAUCUGUCUUGAAGUGGGGGAUAGCUCGGCGAAAGCCGAAUUAAUACCGCAUGUGAUUAGAGUGGACAUCCAUUCAAAAUCAAAGUCGGGGCAACCUGACGCUUUUUGAGGAGCCCGCGGCCUAUCAGCUUGUUGGUGAGGUAACGGCUCACCAAGGCUUUGACGGGUAGCUGGUCUGAGAGGACGACCAGCCACACUGGGACUGAGACACGGCCCAGACACCUACGGGUGGCAGCAGUCGAGAAUUUUUCUCAAUGGGGGAAACCCUGAAGGAGCGACGCCGCGUGGAGGAUGAAGGUCUUCGGAUUGUAAACUCCUGUCAUUGGGGAACAAGUCGCUUACGUUAACUGCGUGAGCGUUGAUAGUACCCGAAGAGGAAGAGACGGCUAACUCUGUGCCAGCAGCCGCGGUAAUACAGAGGUCUCAAGCGUUGUUCGGAUUCAUUGGGCGUAAAGGGUGCGUAGGCGGCGCGGUAAGUCGGGUGUGAAAUUUCGGGGCUUAACUCCGAAACUGCAUUCGA